This 287-nucleotide long non-coding RNA is filed under the name Oryza brachyantha (malo sina). RNAcentral's name for it is "long non-coding RNA (OBRA_LNC000824)". Lineage: Eukaryota; Viridiplantae; Streptophyta; Magnoliopsida; Poales; Poaceae. The record is from RNAcentral.
UUGGUUUCUUCUAUUUCUGCAUGGGCUUUAGUUUCGCACGAGCUGUGGCCAUCACUUUUCGGACCAGGUGUAGGUCAUAUAUGUGCCACUUCCUGCUCCAUCAUCCAAGCAAGCGUGCUUGGUGAAUCAACAAAAGUGAGCAAGGAUCAAAUGUGCUUAUAUGUGAACAAAAAAUUAUCUUAGUGUAUUUACAUUUAAUAUUAAUAUCGGCAUACAAUGACAACAUAUAUACGUUAUAUUAUGGAGAUGUUUUCAUUUCAAAAAACAAAAAGUGAGCAGAAAUAUGC